AGAAAUCACCCGUCUUCUGCGUCAAUCACGCUGAGAACUGCAGACCAGAGCUGUUCCUAUUUGGCCAUCUUGGAACCGGUCUGAGUCUGUUUUAGCCAGAUCAAGUACUUGGUGAGAGAACCUUUGUGGGAGCGCAGAAGUCCAGCAGAGAGACCCUAGCACUUUAUUUGGACCAAAAAAUAAAUAAUAAAUAAAUAAAUAAAUAAAUCCAAAACUAGAUGCAUUAAAGAAGCAGACACUUGAAGAAGCAUCUUUCUUGUGAUCUCCUGGCUGGUACCCUGAAGUCCUGUUAUGCCAAUGGACCAGCAACCCUCGCAGGUAGGAAUUACUGCUAGAAAGACUAUCCUCUCUGCAGGCAAAUUUCUGGAAGGAUACUAUUUUAUGGGGAAAAAUGUGAACAACUGUAGGUAAUUUCACAGUCUGUAGGGCUUGUCUCCUAUUUGUAAUUUCUUACAUGUUUACUCGUGGUGGAAAUGUGGAGGUGGCUAAGGAACAAGCAGGCCCGCUGUGUUUCAGUGGCUUUCAGAGAAGGUGGCGGGAAAUAGUCUCUUCUCAGCAGCAGCUGAAUCCCAGUGUUAGCAGACGGAGCCUUGUUUCUUGAAAGUACAUUCCCAGGGAUUCCCUUGAAGAAUGUGAGAGAUCAGCUGGAAUGAAACUGGAUGUUUUAGGGUCCUGAGGGAAAUGUAAAUCCAGCAGCUUAUUCUCAAGAUGUGGCUCCAGAACCAGCAGCACUGAUUCUUCUAAAGAGUUGAGAGUGCAUUUUAGCUGUGAUAUCUUUGUACUCUUAAGAAAUCCUCCUCAACAAGACAAAACUUGACCAAGAGCAUUCAGUUGUCUUCCAGAAGGCUCCCUUGAGGACUGGGACUCUUCCUGGAUGCACCCAAUUAAUCUAUUGAAACAAGGACUCGUGAUGGCAGCCCCUCACCUGACAAACUGGAUUUUCCCCAGAGAUCAUUUGUAAUGUUUUUCCUGAAUCUUAUUUGUGUUUCCCUAUUAGCAAUGUUAUGUAUUUCUAUAUCGCAAAUCCUAAGUGCCGCCUGUAGAACCUAACCUCCAUUUAUAGCAUGGAACACACAGCCCAUCACGUAUCCUUGCCCUGGCCUUCAGCCUCUGAAUAUUUUAAUAAAAAUCACUCUUUCCU
This 1141-nucleotide long non-coding RNA is filed under the name Homo sapiens (human). Its description in RNAcentral is "HSALNT0301737". The record is from RNAcentral. Lineage: Eukaryota; Metazoa; Chordata; Mammalia; Primates; Hominidae.